AGAGUUUGAUCCUGGCUCAGAUUGAACGCUGGCGGCAUGCCUUACACAUGCAAGUCGAACGGUAACAGCUCUUCGGAGGCUGACGAGUGGCGAACGGGUGAGUAAUACAUCGGAACGUGCCCGAUCGUGGGGGAUAACGGAGCGAAAGCUUUGCUAAUACCGCAUACGAUCUACGGAUGAAAGCAGGGGACCCUCGGGCCUUGCGCGAACGGAGCGGCCGAUGGCAGAUUAGGUAGUUGGUGGGAUAAAAGCUUACCAAGCCGACGAUCUGUAGCUGGUCUGAGAGGACGACCAGCCACACUGGGACUGAAACACGGGCCAGACUCCUACGGGAGGCAGCAGUGAGGAAUUUUGCGCAAUGGGAGCAAUCCUGACGCAGCAACGCCGCGUGGGUGAUGAAGGCCUUCGGGUCGUAAAGCCCUGUCGGGUGGGAAGAAGAGCCCCGGGAUGAAUAAGCCCGGGGAGUGACGGUACCACCAGAGGAAGCACCGGCUAACUCCGUGCCAGCAGCCGCGGUAAUACGGAGGGUGCAAGCGUUAAUCGGAAUUACUGGGCGUAAAGCGUGCGCAGGCGGUUAUAUAAGACAGAUGUGAAAUCCCCGGGCUCAACCUGGGAACUGCAUUUGUGACUGUAUAGCUAGAGUACGGUAGAGGGGGAUGGAAUUCCGCGUGUAGCAGUGAAAUGCGUAGAUAUGCGGAGGAACACCGGUGGCGAAGGCGACUUCCUGGCCCUAUACUGACGCUGAGACGCGAGAGCGUGGGUAGCAAACAGGAUUAGAUACCCUGGUAGUCC
RNAcentral lists this ribosomal RNA (792 nucleotides) under uncultured bacterium. RNAcentral describes it as "bacterial SSU rRNA". It matches the Rfam family "Bacterial small subunit ribosomal RNA", at positions 8 to 796 of the family's 1533-position model. The record is from RNAcentral.